UACGUAGGGGGCUAGCGUUGUCCGGAUUUAUUGGGCGUAAAGAGCGUGUAGGCGGCCAGGUAGGUCUGCUGUGAAAACUCGAGGCUCAACCUCGAGACGUCGGCGGAAACCAUCUGGCUAGAGUCCGGAAGAGGGUCGCAGAAUUCCCAGUGUAGAGGUGAAAUUCGUAGAUAUCGGGAGGAAUACCAGUGGCGAAGGCGGCGACCUGGGCCAAUACUGACGCUGAGGUGCGAAAGCGUGGGGAGCAAACAGG
Molecule: ribosomal RNA, 253 nt
Filed under: uncultured bacterium
Lineage: Bacteria
Description: partial 16S ribosomal RNA
Rfam family: Bacterial small subunit ribosomal RNA
Source: RNAcentral